GAUGAACGCUGGCGGCGUGCCUAAUACAUGCAAGUCGAGCGAACGGACGAGAAGCUUGCUUCUCUGAUGUUAGCGGCGGACGGGUGAGUAACACGUGGAUAACCUACCUAUAAGACUGGGAUAACUUCGGGAAACCGGAGCUAAUACCGGAUAAUAUUUUGAACCGCAUGGUUCAAAAGUAAAAGACGGUCUUGCUGUCACUUAUAGAUGGAUCCGCGCUGCAUUAGCUAGUUGGUAAGGUAACGGCUUACCAAGGCAACGAUGCAUAGCCGACCUGAGAGGGUGAUCGGCCACACUGGAACUGAGACACGGUCCAGACUCCUACGGGAGGCAGCAGUAGGGAAUCUUCCGCAAUGGGCGAAAGCCUGACGGAGCAACGCCGCGUGAGUGAUGAAGGUCUUCGGAUCGUAAAACUCUGUUAUUAGGGAAGAACAUAUGUGUAAGUAACUGUGCACAUCUUGACGGUACCUAAUCAGAAAGCCACGGCUAACUACGUGCCAGCAGCCGCGGUAAUACGUAGGUGGCAAGCGUUAUCCGGAAUUAUUGGGCGUAAAGCGCGCGUAGGCGGUUUUUUAAGUCCGAUGUGAAAGCCCACGGCUCUACCGUGGAGGGUCAUUGGAAACUGGAAAACUUGAGUGCAGAAGAGGAAAGUGGAAUUCCAUGUGUAGCGGUGAAAUGCGCAGAGAUAUGGAGGAACACCAGUGGCGAAGGCGACUUUCUGGUCUGUAACUGACGCUGAUGUGCGAAAGCGUGGGGAUCAAACAGGAUUAGAUACCCUGGUAGUCCACGCCGUAAACGAUGAGUGCUAAGUGUUAGGGGGUUUCCGCCCCUUAGUGCUGCAGCUAACGCAUUAAGCACUCCGCCUGGGGAGUACGACCGCAAGGUUGAAACUCAAAGGAAUUGACGGGGACCCGCACAAGCGGUGGAGCAUGUGGUUUAAUUCGAAGCAACGCGAAGAACCUUACCAAAUCUUGACAUCCUUUGACAACUCUAGAGAUAGAGCCUUCCCCUUCGGGGGACAAAGUGACAGGUGGUGCAUGGUUGUCGUCAGCUCGUGUCGUGAGAUGUUGGGUUAAGUCCCGCAGCGAGCGCAACCCUUAAGCUUAGUUGCCAUCAUUAAGUUGGGCACUCUAAGUUGACUGCCGGUGACAAACCGGAGGAAGGUGGGGAUGACGUCAAAUCAUCAUGCCCCUUAUGAUUUGGGCUACACACGUGCUACAAUGGACAAUACAAAGGGCAGCGAAACCGCGAGGUCAAGCAAAUCCCAUAAAGUUGUUCUCAGUUCGGAUUGUAGUCUGCAACUCGACUACAUGAAGCUGGAAUCGCUAGUAAUCGUAGAUCAGCAUGCUACGGUGAAUACGUUCCCGGGUCU
This 1372-nucleotide ribosomal RNA is filed under the name uncultured bacterium. RNAcentral describes it as "bacterial SSU rRNA". It matches the Rfam family "Bacterial small subunit ribosomal RNA", at positions 28 to 1381 of the family's 1533-position model. The record is from RNAcentral.